Molecule: ribosomal RNA, 468 nt
Filed under: uncultured bacterium
Lineage: Bacteria
Description: partial 16S ribosomal RNA
Rfam family: Bacterial small subunit ribosomal RNA
Source: RNAcentral
GACGAACGCUGGCGGCGUGCUUAACACAUGCAAGUCGAACGGAAAGGCCCUGCUUUUGUGGGGUGCUCGAGUGGCGAACGGGUGAGUAACACGUGAGUAACCUGCCCUUGACUUUGGGAUAACUUCAGGAAACUGGGGCUAAUACCGGAUAGGAGCUCCUGCUGCAUGGUGGGGGUUGGAAAGUUUCGGCGGUUGGGGAUGGACUCGCGGCUUAUCAGCUUGUUGGUGGGGUAGUGGCUUACCAAGGCUUUGACGGGUAGCCGGCCUGAGAGGGUGACCGGCCACAUUGGGACUGAGAUACGGCCCAGACUCCUACGGGAGGCAGCAGUGGAGAAUAUUGCACAAUGGGCGGAAGCCUGAUGCAGAAACGCCGCGUGCGGGAUGACGGCCUUCGGGUUGUGAACCGCUUUCGCCUGUGACGAAGCGUGAGUGACGGUAAUGGGUAAAGAAGCACCGGCUAACUACGUG